Molecule: long non-coding RNA, 1392 nt
Filed under: Rattus norvegicus (Norway rat)
Lineage: Eukaryota; Metazoa; Chordata; Mammalia; Rodentia; Muridae
Description: long non-coding RNA NONRATT006654
Source: RNAcentral
UGAAGAUCCGGAAGGAAGGGAAAUUGCCCCUUGUCUACAUAGAAUCAGAAUCCUUGUAAAGGUCUGGCUUUGCUAGACUGAAUAAGCAUCCCGAGCAGCAAACUCUAAUGCUUUGUGAGAGAACAGACUGCUGGGCUCCCAGUGAGCACUGAAUGCCGAGUGAGAGUUUUAACAAGCAGCCCAGGGCAGAAGCCUCCAAAGGAAUGCCAUGGUCUCACAUCCUUUCCCAGGAGGCUUUGCACCUCCUCCAGGCAUUCAUGUUGCCUGGUGCAGGCUACACUGGCAGCCCCUUUUGGAUAAGGCCUGAGCAUGUAAGAAUCUGCUUACUGUCCCACUCGCAGCUCUACCCCUACUGUAUCCCAGAACCGUCUACCUGCCCCAGGGACUGACCACUAAGGAAUCAAAUCUAUCAUCAAAGGACAGAGAUUGCCCAUGCCACGGCGUGCACUAGAUUCACUCCAAGGAGCAGCCAACCAGGUCUCAGGUACAACUGGGUGAGCUUGGGAAGAGGUGGCCUCCUAGUCUCAUCAUAGUCCCUGGAGAGGAAAGAAAACAAACUCCUAAUUUCCCUUCCCAGAAGUGAGUACCAUUUCUCUAUGUACGCUUGAGAUGGACUCUGUAAGUCAACUGCCCACAGGAAAUCCCCACAGGCCAUGUCUGCACCCUCAGGCAAGAAAUGGGAGGUUCUUACUAUAUAGUCUGUAAUUACCAUGAGAGACACUAGUCUUUGAGAACACUUGAGUCAUGGCAUUUGCUCUCUGGCUGCAGUGUUCAGGGCACAGGGCUCUGAAAGAAGAAUAGAGUCAGUAUCAACCAGAAGACCUAAAAGGACCAACCGGAAGGCCUGCCUGUGGCUGCCAGUUGGGUGGUACUGUCCUGUUUGGUUCCAGAUGCAGAACUAUCUCAUUCUAGCUCUUGGCAGGCUCAUCUGCUGCCGGGAAGAAGCCCGGAUGUCGCUGGCUCCUUAGCCCAGACCUCCCAGUUCCAUUCAUGCCUGGUGAGGUGGCACACUCCUUCACCAGCCCUCUGCUGGGCCCAGGUCAUCUGUUCUCCCAGCUACUUGGCGUCCUAUUUAUAGCGUCUGUUCUUAGAUGCCUGCUGUGCACCAGGCGUUGGCUUAAGGAUUUCUGUGUGCCCUGGAUAAUAAUCAUGAAAACCUCAACAAGUUCAUCCCCAGCUCUAAAACUGAGCUAUGAAAACAGACAUGGACGGGCCCUCUGUUGUGUCGUUUACUGAAGCUUUUUAUUUACAGAAAUGUUGGAAACUGUUGCUAGGGAAGCAGAUAAAUAAUGCAGUCAUAUGGUGGGAUAUAUUAGAAAUCAUUUGAAGGAAUAUUUCAUGUACCAGGAAAUACUUAUGCUAGUGAGUAAAGAAUACACAAUAUAAGAUUGU